This is a non-coding RNA of Alphaproteobacteria bacterium 13_2_20CM_2_64_7, 75 nucleotides long. NCBI's taxonomy places the organism in Bacteria, Pseudomonadati, Pseudomonadota, Alphaproteobacteria. The record is from Rfam.
GUCCCCGUAGCUCAGCUGGAUAGCAGCAGCGGAUUUCUAAUCCGCAGGUCGCAGGUUCGAGUCCUGCCGGGGACG